RNAcentral lists this ribosomal RNA (99 nucleotides) under Dyschoriste hildebrandtii. RNAcentral's name for it is "partial 18S ribosomal RNA". It matches the Rfam family "Eukaryotic small subunit ribosomal RNA". The record is from RNAcentral. Lineage: Eukaryota; Viridiplantae; Streptophyta; Magnoliopsida; Lamiales; Acanthaceae.
CUGCCCGCGACGUCGCGAGAAGUCCACUGAACCUUAUCAUUUAGAGGAMGGAUAAGUCGUAACAAGGUUUCCGUAGGUGAACCUGCGGAAGGAUCAUUG